CUUGACAUCCAGAGAAUUUAGCGGAGAUGCUUUAGUGCCUUCGGGAACUCUGAGACAGGUGCUGCAUGGCUGUCGUCAGCUCGUGUUGUGAAAUGUUGGGUUAAGUCCCGCAACGAGCGCAACCCUUAUCCUUUGUUGCCAGCACGUAAUGGUGGGAACUCAAAGGAGACUGCCGGUGAUAAACCGGAGGAAGGUGGGGAUGACGUCAAGUCAUCAUGGCCCUUACGAGUAGGGCUACACACGUGCUACAAUGGCGCAUACAAAGAGAAGCGACCUCGCGAGAGCAAGCGGACCUCAUAAAGUGCGUCGUAGUCCGGAUUGGAGUCUGCAACUCGACUCCAUGAAGUCGGAAUCGCUAGUAAUCGUAAAUCAGAAUGUUACGGUGAAUACGUUCCCGGGCCUUGUACACACCGCCCGUCACACCAUGGGAGUGGGUUGCAAAAGAAGUAGAUAGCUUAACCUUCGGGAGGGCGUUUACCACUUUGUGAUUCAUGACUGGGGUGAAGUCGUAACAAGGUAAGCGUAGUGCU
Molecule: ribosomal RNA, 530 nt
Filed under: uncultured bacterium
Lineage: Bacteria
Description: bacterial SSU rRNA
Rfam family: Bacterial small subunit ribosomal RNA
Source: RNAcentral